RNAcentral lists this transfer RNA (73 nucleotides) under Felis catus (domestic cat). It matches the Rfam family "tRNA". Rfam says of the family: Transfer RNA (tRNA) molecules are approximately 80 nucleotides in length. Their secondary structure includes four short double-helical elements and three loops (D, anti-codon, and T loops). The record is from Rfam by way of RNAcentral. Lineage: Eukaryota; Metazoa; Chordata; Mammalia; Carnivora; Felidae.
GCCUGGAUGGCUCAGUAGGUAGAGCAUGUGACUCUUGGUCUCAGAGUUGUGAGUUUAAGCCCUACCUUGGGCC